UUCGAUUCUGGCUCAGGAUGAACGCUGGCGGCGUGCCUAACACAUGCAAGUCGAGCGAGAAAUCGCUCAAUGAUCUUCGGGUGAUUUGAGCGAUGGAAAGCGGCGGACGGGUGAGUAACGCGUAGGUAACCUGCCCCAUACAGAGGGAUAGCCACUGGAAACGGUGAUUAAUACCUCAUAACACCGGAAUACCGCAUGGUAUACCGGUCAAAGUUUUUUCGGUAUGGGAUGGACCUGCGUCUGAUUAGCUGGUUGGUGAGGUAACGGCUCACCAAGGCGACGAUCAGUAGCCGACCUGAGAGGGUGAUCGGCCACAUUGGAACUGAGACACGGUCCAAACUCCUACGGGAGGCAGCAGUGGGGAAUAUUGCACAAUGGGCGCAAGCCUGAAUGCAGCAACGCCGCGUGAACGAAGAAGGCUCUUGGGUCGUAAAGUUCUGUUCUGAGGGAAGAAGAUCUGACGGUACCUCAGGAGAAAGCCCCGGCUAACUACGUGCCAGCAGCGGC
RNAcentral lists this ribosomal RNA (507 nucleotides) under uncultured bacterium. RNAcentral's name for it is "bacterial SSU rRNA". It matches the Rfam family "Bacterial small subunit ribosomal RNA", at positions 12 to 518 of the family's 1533-position model. The record is from RNAcentral.